CCGCCCCGCCGUUCAGCCGGGACGCCAGCAGCCCCGGGGAGCCAGGCGGCGGCGCCCUGUGCCCGGGCGCGUGGGUCCGCUUGCCGCGGGCGGCCGGAGACGUGCGGGCGCCGGGGCUUCUGGGCUCCGGGCACUGCGGGGGCUGCGGGCUCGGCGCCCGGGGAAGACGGGCCAUGGGCGCGGGUGCGGGCGCCCCAGCCGGCCGCGAUCGCGGGGUUUCUGCGCCAGGAGAUGAGGGUCGGUAGAGCCCUGGAAUGGAGAUGUCCUUGACACCUGGGCAGAGGCUGCAGCUGCAGGACCCUGUGGCCACUGGAGAUAAGUAAUGGUGCCAUUUGAACACCUACUGGAAACGGGGCAGGAACAGUGAGUGACCCCAGGCGAGCACAGGCAGGUGCCAUGAGCCAGGAUGCAAGGAUGAUGCCUCCGGAGGCCCUGGCCUCCCUCCCACCUGGGCGCUAGGAGCCAUCCCGGGGCUCCAGCCACGA
Molecule: long non-coding RNA, 485 nt
Filed under: Pan troglodytes (chimpanzee)
Lineage: Eukaryota; Metazoa; Chordata; Mammalia; Primates; Hominidae
Description: long non-coding RNA NONPTRT006624
Source: RNAcentral